UAGUUCAGUGGUAGAACUCUUGACCGGUAAGCAGAAGCUCCGGGUUCGAUUCCCGG
This 56-nucleotide transfer RNA is filed under the name Pristionchus pacificus. It matches the Rfam family "tRNA", at positions 8 to 63 of the family's 71-position model. Rfam says of the family: Transfer RNA (tRNA) molecules are approximately 80 nucleotides in length. Their secondary structure includes four short double-helical elements and three loops (D, anti-codon, and T loops). Further hydrogen bonds mediate the characteristic L-shaped molecular structure. tRNAs have two regions of fundamental functional importance: the anti-codon, which is responsible for specific mRNA codon recognition, and the 3' end, to which the tRNAs corresponding amino acid is attached (by aminoacyl-tRNA synthetases). tRNAs cope with the degeneracy of the genetic code in two manners: having more than one tRNA (with a specific anti-codon) for a particular amino acid; and 'wobble' base-pairing, i.e. permitting non-standard base-pairing at the 3rd anti-codon position. The record is from Rfam by way of RNAcentral. Lineage: Eukaryota; Metazoa; Nematoda; Chromadorea; Rhabditida; Neodiplogasteridae.